Molecule: ribosomal RNA, 429 nt
Filed under: uncultured bacterium
Lineage: Bacteria
Description: bacterial SSU rRNA
Rfam family: Bacterial small subunit ribosomal RNA
Source: RNAcentral
UGGGGAAUAUUGGACAAUGGGCGCAAGCCUGAUCCAGCCAUGCCGCGUGUGUGAAGAAGGCUUUCGGGUUGUAAAGCACUUUCAGUGGGGAAGAAGGCCUGGCGGUCAAUACCCGCCAGGGACGACAUCACCCACAGAAGAAGCACCGGCUAACUCCGUGCCAGCAGCCGCGGUAAUACGGAGGGUGCGAGCGUUAAUCGGAAUUACUGGGCGUAAAGCGCGCGUAGGCGGCCAAGUAAGCCGGUUGUGAAAGCCCCGGGCUCAACCUGGGAAUGGCAUCCGGAACUGGUUGGCUAGAGUGCAGGAGAGGAAGGUAGAAUUCCCGGUGUAGCGGUGAAAUGCGUAGAGAUCGGGAGGAAUACCAGUGGCGAAGGCGGCCUUCUGGACUGACACUGACGCUGAGGUGCGAAAGCAUGGGUAGCAAACAGG